Molecule: transfer RNA, 64 nt
Filed under: Glycinde armigera
Lineage: Eukaryota; Metazoa; Annelida; Polychaeta; Phyllodocida; Goniadidae
Description: tRNA-Leu
Source: RNAcentral
AGUAUGUUGGCAGAUUAGUGCAAUUGAUUUAGGAUCAAUAUAUGUAUACAUUAUACACAUACUA